AGUCAACAUGCCCAGGGGACGUGGAUAACCUCGGGAAACUGAGGCUAAACCGCGAUAGGCCAAGAUUUCUGGAAUGGAUCAUGGCCUAAAUCUAUAUGGCCCCUGGAUUGGACUGCGGCCGAUCAGGCUGUUGGUGAGGUAAUGGCCCACCAAACCUGUAACCGGUACGGGCUCUGAGAGGAGGAGCCCGGAGAUGGGCACUUAGACAAGGGCCCAGGCCCUAUGGGGCGCAGCAGGCGCGAAACCUCUGCAAUAAGCGAAAGCUUGACAGGGUUACUCUGAGUGAUUUCCGCUAAGGAAGUCUUUUGGCACCUCUAAAAAUGGUGCAGAAUAAGGGGUGGGCAAGUCUGGUGUCAGCCGCCGCGGUAAUACCAGCACCCCGAGUGGUCGGGACGAUUAUUGGGCCUAAAGCAUCCGUAGCCGGUCCUGCAAGUCCUCCGUUAAAUCCACCCGCUCAACGGUUGGGCCGCGGGGGAUACUACAGGGCUAGGAGGCGGGAGAGGCAAGCGGUACUCGAUGGGUAGGGGUAAAAUCCACUGAUCCAUUGAAGACCACCAGUGGCGAAGGCGGCCUGCCAGAACGCGCUCGACGGUGAGGGAUGAAAGCUGGGGGAGCAAACCGGAUUAGAUACCCGGGUAGUCCCAGCUGUAAACGAUGCAGACUCGGUGAUGGGCUGGCUUCGUGCCAACCCGGUGCCGCAGGGAAGCCGUUAAGUCUGCCGCCUGGGGAGUACGGUCGCAAGACUGAAACUUAA
Molecule: ribosomal RNA, 754 nt
Filed under: uncultured archaeon
Lineage: Archaea
Description: bacterial SSU rRNA
Rfam family: Archaeal small subunit ribosomal RNA
Source: RNAcentral